Molecule: transfer RNA, 68 nt
Filed under: Teredorus guangxiensis
Lineage: Eukaryota; Metazoa; Arthropoda; Insecta; Orthoptera; Tetrigidae
Description: tRNA-Lys
Rfam family: tRNA
About the family: Transfer RNA (tRNA) molecules are approximately 80 nucleotides in length. Their secondary structure includes four short double-helical elements and three loops (D, anti-codon, and T loops). Further hydrogen bonds mediate the characteristic L-shaped molecular structure. tRNAs have two regions of fundamental functional importance: the anti-codon, which is responsible for specific mRNA codon recognition, and the 3' end, to which the tRNAs corresponding amino acid is attached (by aminoacyl-tRNA synthetases). tRNAs cope with the degeneracy of the genetic code in two manners: having more than one tRNA (with a specific anti-codon) for a particular amino acid; and 'wobble' base-pairing, i.e. permitting non-standard base-pairing at the 3rd anti-codon position.
Source: RNAcentral
CAUUAGAUGGCUGAAAAAUUAAGCAAUGGUCUCUUAAACCAAAAUAUAGUAAAAUAUACUUCUAAUGA